RNAcentral lists this ribosomal RNA (678 nucleotides) under uncultured Pseudomonadota bacterium. Its description in RNAcentral is "bacterial SSU rRNA". It matches the Rfam family "Bacterial small subunit ribosomal RNA", at positions 75 to 749 of the family's 1533-position model. Lineage: Bacteria; Pseudomonadati; Pseudomonadota. The record is from RNAcentral.
GGGGGCAACCCUGGUGGCGAGUGGCGAACGGGUGAGUAAUACAUCGGAACGUAUCUUCAAGUGGGGGAUAACGCACCGAAAGGUGUGCUAAUACCGCAUAAUCUCUCAGGAGAAAAGCAGGGGAUCGCAAGACCUUGCGCUUUUAGAGCGGCCGAUGUCUGAUUAGCUGGUUGGUGAGGUAAAGGCUUACCAAGGCGUCGAUCAGUAGCUGGUCUGAGAGGACGACCAGCCACACUGGGACUGGGACACGGCCCAGACUCCUACGGGAGGCAGCAGUGGGGAAUUUUGGACAAUGGGGGAAACCCUGAUCCAGCCAUGCCGCGUGAGUGAAGAAGGCCUUCGGGUUGUAAAGCUCUUUCAGCCGGAACGAAACGGUCACGGCUAAUACCUGUGACUACUGACGGUACCGGAAGAAGAAGCACCGGCUAACUACGUGCCAGCAGCCGCGGUAAUACGUAGGGUGCGAGCGUUAAUCGGAAUUACUGGGCGUAAAGCGUGCGCAGGCGGUUUUGUAAGUCAGAUGUGAAAUCCCCGGGCUUAACCUGGGAACUGCGUUUGAAACUACAAGGCUAGAGUGUGACAGAGGGGGGUGGAAUUCCACGUGUAGCAGUGAAAUGCGUAGAGAUGUGGAGGAACACCGAUGGCGAAGGCAGCCCCCUGGGUUAACACUGACGCUCA